This is a long non-coding RNA of Melanotaenia boesemani (Boeseman's rainbowfish), 2420 nucleotides long. RefSeq lists it as uncharacterized. The record is from RefSeq and is a predicted model, not a curated record. NCBI's taxonomy places the organism in Eukaryota, Metazoa, Chordata, Actinopteri, Atheriniformes, Melanotaeniidae. The transcript has 3 exons.
UUAGCUGAUUAGAGGUUGGCACCAGGUGUCUUCAAUAUUGAACCUUUCCACAAUAUUCUAAUUUUCUGACAUAGUCAAGUUGGGAUUUUCGUUAGUUGUCAGUUACAAUCAUUAAUAUUAAAGAGAUAAACACUUAAAAUAUGUCAGUCUGUGAGGAAUGAAUGUCUACAUUAUACAAGUUUCACCUUUUGAAUGGAAUUACUGAAAUUAAUCAACUUUUUUACGAUAUUCUAAUUUUAUGACGAGCACCUGUAUAUAAAAACCAUAUAGAAGUCUCUCUCUCUCUCUCUCUCGCUCUGUAACGCCGGACUCCACAGAGACAAGGGCAAGUUAACCACUCUUUAUUAUUAACCAUGAACACAAGGUAAAGGUCUUACUUAGACAGACACUGAAGGAGUCGGCUGGAGGGACAGGAACCAGGGGGACAGGAACGGAGAAGUGGCCAGUCCAUGAAGUGCGUAGGUAAUGUCCGACGGCCGGGGAGUGACUGUGGUGCUGGGGUAUAAAGGACUGGUGAGUAAACGGAGACAGGUGUGACUGGUUGGGCUUGACUGGAGCGAACGGAUCAGGCACAGGUGUGGAGGAUCAGGGGAGUGCUGAUGGAGGAGUGGCUGGACAGGCUGUGACUCUCUCUCUCUCUGUCUCUAUAUAUACUUUAGGAAAUUUCAUAAUAUCAUUUUGUGGUGAUAUCGGCCACUCCUCUUGGAUGUUUGACAGGGUUUAAAAUGAACGUAGGGAUUUUCGUACGUAAAGGGAGGAUAAAUGAGGCUGAAACUAACGCUUAUGGCUGUGGUUUAUCAGCGUUGUGAAACAUUUUUCUGCACGGUUACUUUGAACUGUGUUUAAGGCUGUUUGAUGUGUUUCUGCUCUGCAGGUCAUAAAGAGGACGGAGGAAAGGAUGGAGAGGGUGGAGUUACAUCCUUGGCAGUAACACUUCCGGUUCUGGUGGCUGUGCUGCUGCUGGUUGCUGCUGCUGUGUUGAUCUCCAGGUGUUACUGUCGGAACGAUGCAGAGAUGUUUGCACAGCAGCAGUUACAAAAACAAAGUGAUGGAAUCAAUGCUGAAGACAGAACAGAGAGAGAAGAUGGUGAGGAAGGUGGAGAGAAAGGUUCUUUGCAAUGACCCAGAGUCCAAUUUUUUUCGAAAGAGCCAGAGUCUGGAUUUUUAUGCCCCAGAAGUUCAAGGAACAAGACUGGAUCCUAAUGGCGAGCCAGAGAACCCAAUGGAAGAGCUAAGCACAUAUCCAGCAUGAGUUCAUAAUUUAAAGAAGUUCAUCUUAAAUUGUGGUUGUAGCAUUCAUAUAUUUUAUUCUGCAGCUUCCUGUAAACUUGGAAAUGUCUUAUUUUUAAAGGUUUUUAUCUCAUGUUAACAACAGCAAUUAACGGUGUAAAAAUGACGGCAAACGAUGUAAAAUGUAUUUCACGGAGCUAAUACAGUAAUAAGCUGCAGUAAAAAGCACAGUACCAGCGUCAGCACCAGUCGAAAGUGCCAACAAGUUAAAUGCAAUGACUACAUUAAGGCAUGUAAAAAAAUCUGUUAUUUUUUUUUGUUUUUUUGGGGGGGGGUAAAUAUUGAUGCUGUAAGCUAACUGAGGUAUCAGAAGUAACGCCAUACAUUUUUUGUGUUUAUGUCUUGUUUAGCUCUUACAUUGGUUUAUGAUUGGUUCAAGAAAGUUCGGAUGGAAUAAAAACCACUACAGACCAUCAGUUAAGAGUGUUUAUUCGACACUACAACAUUUAUUUAAUUCUUUUGUAUGCAUGAUCAAUGUUUGUAUUUAUUUUCUUUUGGGGGUUUAAUUAUAUUGUUCUUUGUUGACAGUUGCCAUUGUUCACACAAAAAAUGAGUUGCUACUGAAAUGUAUACCUUGUUGUUCAUUAAUGUUGCUCAGCUCCUUGGCUCCCAAAUCUAAUCUAGACUUUCUGAUCGCUUGGCCUUUGAAUGAUCAUUACAUCGUAUUUUUAACAUACUGUAAUCCACUUUACAUUGCUAAAUGGGUUUCAUGUGACUUGAUCUACAUCAUUGAAUAACAUCUAAUCUAAGUCAUAAUACCACAUACUGAAGUGUUUAUCUGACCUUCUAUUGUAGACUACAAAAAAGUUUUUUGUUUGAUGCAGAUCCCUGCAAAAAGGACCACAAUGAUUUUAAAGUGGGUUGCAAUUAAAAUGAGAAAAAAUGAAAAUAAUGAUGAACAUUUCCUCUAAUAUCACAAAUUUAAUGCAGUUUCAGUUUGUCAAAGUGAUCACAUAAGAUUUUGUUACUCAAAAUGAUUAGAGCUCUAAGGAUUUCAGUGUGUUGUGUAACAAUGGUUUAUUACUUCAAGUACUGAAGAAGCUGUGAGCACUUAUGACCAAGUUGAUAUUGUGUGAUGAAUUUGUGAUCUUGUAUUUAAAAUGACUAAAAAAAAAAAAAAUAUAUAUAUG